UACGUAGGGGGCAAGCGUUGUCCGGAUUUAUUGGGCUUAAAGGGUGCGUAGGCGGCUAUCUAAGUCAGUGCUGAAAUAUCCCGGCUUAACCGGGAGGGUGGCAUUGAUACUGGGUUGCUUGAGUAAAGUUGAGGUAGGCGGAAUUGACGGUGUAGCGGUGAAAUGCUUAGAUAUCGUCAAGAACACCAAUAGUGAAGACAGCUUACUGAACUUUAACUGACGCUGAGGCACGAAAGUGUGGGGAUCAAACAGG
This 253-nucleotide ribosomal RNA is filed under the name uncultured bacterium. RNAcentral describes it as "partial 16S ribosomal RNA". It matches the Rfam family "Bacterial small subunit ribosomal RNA", at positions 524 to 776 of the family's 1533-position model. The record is from RNAcentral.